RNAcentral lists this ribosomal RNA (200 nucleotides) under uncultured bacterium. RNAcentral describes it as "partial 16S ribosomal RNA". It matches the Rfam family "Bacterial small subunit ribosomal RNA", at positions 524 to 724 of the family's 1533-position model. The record is from RNAcentral.
UACGGAGGGUGCAAGCGUUAAUCGGAAUUACUGGGCGUAAAGCGUGCGCAGGCGGUUUGUUAAGUCCGCUGUGAAAUCCCCGAGCUCAACUUGGGAAUUGCAGUGGAUACUGGCAAGCUGGAUAUGGUAGAGGAAGGUGGAAUUCCCGGUGUAGCAGUGAAAUGCGUAGAGAUCGGGAGGAACACCAGUGGCGAAGGCGG